RNAcentral lists this transfer RNA (75 nucleotides) under Sulfurimonas sp. RNAcentral's name for it is "tRNA-Gln". It matches the Rfam family "tRNA". Rfam says of the family: Transfer RNA (tRNA) molecules are approximately 80 nucleotides in length. Lineage: Bacteria; Pseudomonadati; Campylobacterota; Epsilonproteobacteria; Campylobacterales; Sulfurimonadaceae. The record is from RNAcentral.
UGGGGUAUCGCCAAGCGGUAAGGCAUCAGCUUUUGGUGCUGACAUUCGGGGGUUCGAAUCCCUCUACCCCAUCCA